AGUUGCUAUAGUGUCUCAGCAAAUAGCUAGAGUUCUCAGUCCCACACCAGGAACCAUCUCUGAUAGACAUUUCUAUCAACAGAUUUAUUUCGAUCCUGUUGUGUUGGACUCCUGUGCAUCCUCCCUCCUGAUCCUCCAGCCCAAUAUUUGUCAACAACAACAAAAAAAGUAGUUUGGAGGUACAGUGGAUAGAGCCUUGGAUAUGGAGUCAGAAAGACAGGAGAAAUGUGUUAUUUACCUGCUUCAUUUACAUGCUUUCAUUGAGGAUUCCAUUGGACAGCAAGCAUCUUUGGACAGAGCAUCUGACUUCCAGCCGAACUUCGGUCACUGUCACACUCAGGACAAUCUUCUUACUAAAGAUCCAGUACCAUAUUCUCUCCAUCCUGGCUGGCACCUGUGGGGAUGAGGGGUGGUGUUGAAAUAUAUGAGGUGUUCAGUUCCUUGUUGUUUGGAAGAAGCAUGUAACAUUGCCUUCUGUCUUCCUCAUCUUUAUAAUUCCAGGAGUAUACUUAUGGUCCAAACUCAACCUUGACUUUGAAGCAGACAUCAUGGAGAUUGAAGGCAAGGUCCCAGUGUCACAAUGGACAACCAUGUUCCUUGUAUCCUCUAGUGAUCUCAGCAAAAUCCAUCCACACUAAAUGAAUCAUCUUUGGAGAAUAGUUUUGGAGUUUUUCACAAAAGACUUGAGAAAUCAUUAGCAUAUAUAUGUUAUAGGUGGAAAUAUCCUGUACAGGAAACUGUUCCAUUUUCCCUAGCAAAAGUCUUUGGGUAUCUGGAGAAGCCACUAAGUAAGGGCCAAUCAAAUGGAGAGGGAUCCAGAAGAAUGGGCUCUUUCUGUCCUCACCUGUUAGGAAAUAGAGCAAAUGUCCAUAUUUCCUUCAAACAAACAUCCUGGAGUCAAAGUCUUUGUUCAAGAUAUACAUAGGAUGAGUCUCAAGGAGAUGAACCUAGGCUUGGGCCUGUACUCAGGUCCUGAAUUUUAGUGGUCACUUCAGGUUCCCCUGGUUAGGGGGGCAGUAAGGUAGUCUGGCAUUAUGUACUUUGAAGCAGACAUCUUGGGGAUGUUGAUGGCAGCUUCAGUGGCCUUUAUCCUCUAUGUACAUGUGCCGACUCCCAUCAGUUCUGAAUUUCUAGUUGAGAAGGUGAGUAGGCCCUGCCACUGGCUUUUCUCUUGCCAGAGGUCGGGCCCAUUCCACAAGUGGCACAUUUAGUUUGCAGUCCAUGGAACCACUUGAUCACCCCAAUAAUGAGAAU
Molecule: long non-coding RNA, 1254 nt
Organism: Monodelphis domestica (gray short-tailed opossum)
Lineage: Eukaryota; Metazoa; Chordata; Mammalia; Didelphimorphia; Didelphidae
Source: Ensembl